AGAGUUUGAUCCUGGCUCAGAAUGAACGCUGGCGGCGUGCUUAACACAUGCAAGUCGAACGUGAAAGUCCUUCGGGAUUAGUAAAGUGGCGAACGGGUGAGUAAUACAUAAGAAUCUGCCUUUCAGCGGGGGAUACCCUAGAGAAAUUUAGGUUAAUACCGCGUACGUCCACUAUGUGGAGAAAGAUGGCCUCUUGCUAUCGCUGAGAGAUGAGCUUAUGCACUAUUAGCUAGUUGGUGGGGUAAAGGCCUACCAAGGCGAAGAUGGUUAGCCGGCCUGAGAGGGUGAACGGCCACAAUGGGACUGAGAUACGGCCCAUACUCCUACGGGAGGCAGCAGUGGGGAAUAUUGCACAAUGGGCGCAAGCCUGAUGCAGCGACGCCGCGUGAAGGAUGAAGGCUUUCGAGUCGUAAACUUCUGUUAAGUGGGAAGAAAUGCUUCCGGAUAAUACCCGGAAGAGCUGACGGUACCACUAGAGAAAGCACCGGCUAACUUCGUGCCAGCAGCCGCGGUAAUACGAAGGGUGCAAGCGUUAUUCGGAGUUACUGGGCGUAAAGAGCGUGUAGGCGGUUUGCUAAGUCUGCUGUUAAAUCAUUCGGCUCAACCGGAUGUUCGCAGUGGAUACUGGCGAACUAGAGUGCAAGAGAGAGAAGUGGAAUUCUCGGAGUAGCGGUAAAAUGCGUAGAUCUCGAGAGGAACACCGGUAGCGAAGGCGGCUUCUUGGCUUGUAACUGACGCUCAAACGCGAAAGCGUGGGUAGCAAACAGGAUUAGAUACCCUAGUAGUCC
Molecule: ribosomal RNA, 788 nt
Filed under: uncultured bacterium
Lineage: Bacteria
Description: bacterial SSU rRNA
Rfam family: Bacterial small subunit ribosomal RNA
Source: RNAcentral